AGCCUAGUAGUUUAAAGAACAGUAGAUUGCAAAUUUAAAGGAAAUUAUAUUCAAGGCUU
This 59-nucleotide transfer RNA is filed under the name Cerophytidae sp. BMNH 900085. RNAcentral's name for it is "tRNA-Cys". Lineage: Eukaryota; Metazoa; Arthropoda; Insecta; Coleoptera; Cerophytidae. The record is from RNAcentral.